UGGGGAAUUUUCCGCAAUGGGCGAAAGCCUGACGGAGCAAUACCGCGUGAGGGAGGAAGGCUCUUGGGUUGUAAACCUCUUUUCUCAGGGAAGAAGAUCUGACGGUACCUGAGGAAUAAGCAUCGGCUAACUCCGUGCCAGCAGCCGCGGUAAUACGGAGGAUGCAAGCGUUAUCCGGAAUUAUUGGGCGUAAAGCGUCCGCAGGUGGUUACUCAAGUCUGCUGUCAAAUACUAGAGCUUAACUCUGGAAGGGCAGUGGAAACUGAGAAACUAGAGUCCGGUAGGGGUAGCGGGAAUUCCCAGUGUAGCGGUGAAAUGCGUAGAUAUUGGGAAGAACAUCGGUGGCGAAAGCGCGCUACUGGGCCGGAACUGACACUCAGGGACG
Molecule: ribosomal RNA, 385 nt
Filed under: uncultured bacterium
Lineage: Bacteria
Description: bacterial SSU rRNA
Rfam family: Bacterial small subunit ribosomal RNA
Source: RNAcentral